AGUUUGAUCCUGGCUCAGGAUGAACGCUAGCUACAGGCUUAACACAUGCAAGUCGAGGGGAAACGAUAUUGGAAGCUUGCUUCCGAUAGGCGUCGACCGGCGCACGGGUGAGUAACGCGUAUCCAACCUGCCCACCACUUGGGGAUAACCUUGCGAAAGUAAGACUAAUACCCAAUGAUAUCUCUAGAAGACAUCUGAAAGGGAUUAAAGAUUUAUCGGUGAUGGAUGGGGAUGCGUCUGAUUAGCUUGUUGGCGGGGUAACGGCCCACCAAGGCGACGAUCAGUAGGGGUUCUGAGAGGAAGGUCCCCCACAUUGGAACUGAGACACGGUCCAAACUCCUACGGGAGGCAGCAGUGAGGAAUAUUGGUCAAUGGGCGAGAGCCUGAACCAGCCAAGUAGCGUGCAGGAUGACGGCCCUAUGGGUUGUAAACUGCUUUUAUAAGGGAAUAAAGUGAGCCUCGUGAGGCUUUUUGCAUGUACCUUAUGAAUAAGGACCGGCUAAUUCCGUGCCAGCAGCCGCGGUAAUACGGAAGGUCCGGGCGUUAUCCGGAUUUAUUGGGUUUAAAGGGAGCGUAGGCCGGAGAUUAAGCGUGUUGUGAAAUGUAGAUGCUCAACAUCUGCACUGCAGCGCGAACUGGUUUCCUUGAGUACGCACAAAGUGGGCGGAAUUCGUGGUGUAGCGGUGAAAUGCUUAGAUAUCACGAAGAACUCCGAUUGCGAAGGCAGCUCACUGGAGCGCAACUGACGCUGAAGCUCGAAAGUGCGGGUAUCGAACAGGAUUAGAUACCCUGGUAGUCCGCACGGUAAACGAUGGAUGCCCGCUGUUGGUCUGAAUAGGUCAGCGGCCAAGCGAAAGCAUUAAGCAUCCCACCUGGGGAGUACGCCGGCAACGGUGAAACUCAAAGGAAUUGACGG
This 916-nucleotide ribosomal RNA is filed under the name uncultured bacterium. RNAcentral describes it as "bacterial SSU rRNA". It matches the Rfam family "Bacterial small subunit ribosomal RNA", at positions 10 to 916 of the family's 1533-position model. The record is from RNAcentral.